UAUGUGUAAUAAAUGGUCUUCAAAGAUAAUGUUUUUAAGCAUUUUCUUAAUUUAUAUUAUUGGCUCACCAACUAUUCCCAGGAAAAAUGAGGUGGAAUACUUCCAAAUAUGCCCUUCUCACCUUCCUCCGCACACCUCCCUGUCUGCCAAAAUCUUGUUUUCACAGUUGUAUUUUGUUACUGAUGCUCACUCUGUGUGGUCCUUUCUAAUAAGGAAAUAAAGAAAUACCCCUAUUGAUUUUCUCUCUUAUUGUAAUCCUAGACUCUUGGGAAAUUGGAGGGCCAGUUAUUUGCUCUGUCUCUUCCUUUCUUUCUUUCUUCCCCAGAUCUGAGCCUAUUGGGUGGAAACCAUAUUGGUGCCUCAUGACUGGGGAAUGGAAUAGAUGUUCAUCUCAUGCUUUUCUCUAGGAAUGUCUGUACCUGCAGUCUAACCAUCAUGGCUGAACUGUCAGAUUAGUCAGUGAAACUGUUGGUUCUUUUGAAUGAAUUAAUUGGAUGGUUAGCCAUAGUGGCAAGCCACAGUCCUGAACUAACAGGGUAAAAUGGUGGUUCUUACAAGGAUAACCUAAAUUAUUUACAGAAAAAUGUAGAGCAGUGUCAUGGUCUGUAUAUAUCCUGGAAAAUACAGACCUAAUGUCAUCUGGCUCUGCCAUUGCACAGAUAGGAUGUUAAUUGGACAACAUUCCUGCUUUUAAUUUAGCACUCGGAUGUACUAUGUGAGUAAAGGUUUAAAUGGAAUAUUUCUAAAGUAUUACUGUGUUGAACUAUAUUCAAAUUUGGAGAAAAAAAUCAAUUCUUUUUAGAGUAAGGGCAAUUGAAAAUUUAAAACAACAAAAUGCUAGAAAUUAUGAGUUUAGCUUAAAACUCUGUCAUUAACACAUCCCUUUGGAAUAAAACAGAGAACAAUGCAUUCUCACACUGCUACUGUGCCCUUUGUUCUGCAAUCCUAGAGCACUUAACAAUGAAUACAGUUAAAAUUAGCAUCAAAGUAGAUUUCCUAAAGGAAUUAUUGUAGACAAAUGGAAACAAAACAAAUCAGCUUAAAGUUUAGAUUGAAGAAAUUAACCAUGGGGAUUUUCUUUAUUUCAUUUCACAAUGUCUUCCAAGUCAGAGGCCAGGUGCCUACAGAUUUAAAACUGAGUUAGAAUUUGGCUGGUAGUAACAGCAAACACGACAUAACUGAUCUUCAUACAGUAUAUUAUGUGUAGGCACCUACUGCUUAGAUAGAUACAUUAACUUCUUCUAUCCUCACAAUGAUCCUAUAAGGUAGUGUAUUAGUUUCCUUGCACUGCUGUAACAAAUUGCCAAAAAAUUGUAGGUUUAAAACAGCAGAAAUUGGGGUGCCUGGGUGGCUCAGUCAGUUAAGCGGCUGCCUUCGGCUCAGGUCAUGAGCCUGGUGUCCUGGGAUCGAACCCCACAUCCGGCUCCCUGCUCAGCAGAGAGCCUGCUUCUCCCUCUCCCUCUGCCUACUUGUGCUCUCUAUCUCUCUGUCAAAUAAAUAAACAAAAUCUUUAAACAAAACAAAACAAAAAAACCAGAAGAAAUUUAUUCUCUCACAAAUCUGGAGGCUAGAAGCCCAAAAUUCAGCAAAGAUGCACUACCUCUGGGGCCUCAUGUGAAGAAUCCAUUCUUUGGCUCUUCCCCGCUUGUGGUGGCUGUUGGGAUUCCUUGACUUAACAGCUGCAUCACUCCAAUCUCUGUCUGCGUGGUUACAUUGGCUCCUCCUCUUCUGCCUGUGUGUCCUCUGGGAGUCUCUUAUAAGGAUACUUGUACUGAUUUAGGGCUCGCCUGAAUAUUCCAGGAAAAUGUCCUCAUCUCAAGGUCUUUAGCUCAAUUACAUUUACAAAGACCCUUUCCCAAAUUAAAGUAACAUUCACAGGUUCCAGGAAUUAAGACAUGGACAUACCUUCUGGACCACCAUUCAACACACUAUAGGUAGAUAGUAUUAUUACAUCCAUUUUACAAAUGAAGAAAAUGAAGCCUACCAGCUAAAGUUUGUUGGACUAUGUGCCAGGCAUCAAUCUAAGUCUUGUGUAUACACUAUACUAUCUAUUUAAUAUUCAUAAACAUCCCAUGAGGUAGGUACAAUUAUUAUUAUUGGCAUUUUACAGAUAACGAAACUGGGGCUGUCUGAGAAUUUGCUCAAUAUUACAGAGCUCGUAAAUGGUGAAGCCAGGAUUCAAAUGCAGGACUAAAUUAUUCCAGAGCCUACACACUGAAACACUGAGCCACCCUAUUCCUCCAACUUCCAUCAUCUACACUGAGAGGAUCAGCAUUGUGGGAACCUUACAAGAUGUUGAGGUUUUUUUUUUUUUUUGAUUCUAUAAAAAGGAGCCAUCAAGGGAUCCUGCUGCCCCAUCCUAGAAGGAGAAUAGACCAAUAUUUAUAUCCUGACCACCAUAUGUCCACUUAUCUCUUAAAGCAAUGCCUCGAAGAUUCUUCUAAGAAAGAGAAAGCAGAUACCAAAUAGUGGCUCAUAUAAAAGCAUCUUCUUCAUCCUGAAUCUGAUAUUUAAAUGGUUGAUAUGAAGAAUGCUGGAGAAAUGUAGUUAGUAUUCUCAUACACAGAAGAGAUUUAACUUUAUUUCUAAGUAAAAAAGGUUACAAUCUCAAAAAAGGGAAGUAUUUUGUGUCCCUGACCAUUUCAAGAAUCUAAACCUAAAGCCAAAUCAAUAGUGUUUCACAGUUUCACAGCCUCCGUCUUACCUAGCUCGCAGCUCUGCACGCUAACCCUAAGAUUCUCCCCUAGAAUUACCUGGGGGCACAUUGAACUGUUACAGAUGGUGGCCCACUCAGAGAUUGUACUGAUCGAAGUGGGGCCAAGGCAUUUAAGAGCCUGAAAUUCUCAUUACAGCUAACUUUUAGGAAUGAUAAUUUAAGUAUUGUUUAUAAUAGGGAGAGAUAGAAAAUGAUUUAAAUAUCCUUAAAAUGUUGUUUUCGUGGCAGAGGUAAUGAGGCAGAAAAGUACUGACAACAUAUUGUAGUAUGAAAAGCUCAGGUUUACAUGAAAGAACAACAAACAAAUGGUCCUGCUCCAAGUAGAUGUAUGAAAGUUUCCAUAGCAUGCUCUCAAUUUUUCACUCAAAAAUAAAGUUAGCUGAAUUUGACUUCUCCGUGACUCCUAAUUGGUCUUCCUUUGUGGAGUGUGUAUGAAAAAUAAUGGAUGAGAAAGAGAGAGAGAGAGAGAGAGAGAGGGAUUUUUAGCAGCCGUGCCGUGCCGCUCACUGGGACUCCUAGGAUGAAUCUGGAUGCUAAAUUUGGAGGUGCCUUACAUUGCCCAGACUCCUAGAGGUGCAGAGCUCCCAGACCGGCUGACUGAGGAGGAAGUAGACAAAGGGAAUAUGUCACCAUAACCUUAGACUCAGGGGCACAAGUUUUUAAACUCCAAAACCCAAAAUGCUGCUAAAAAUGGAACAGUUGAUAAACUCAGACUGAGCACCUUGGGCAGUUUGAUCAAAGGAAGAACAAGGUGUGGUUAAAUUUGUCAAAUAAAACUGACGGGAUUUCCCACCCCCCACUCCCCAUAUUUAAGAAGGUUGAGGGAGAGAAAUGACCGUCAGGACUUUUGUCAUCCUUUCUUGGGCUUCCUGGAUCCUCAGGACAGAUGGAGCUCUGCUGGGCCCACUGUGGUGUGUCAUUACCUGUGCUUUUAGACUAAACUCAGAGGAAAACAAAUGUCACACCUAAAGACUUAGGGAGGAAUUGCUCUGACCACAUUUUAAAGGUGAAGUGGCUUAGGCCCAGGGAAAUCCUGUGAUCAGAUACAGGCUGAGGGCCAGUCCAGCUGAGCCUCCUGUCCACCUACUGCAUUCCCACCUCAAACGUGUCAGGGCAACUGUCUCCUAACCCAAUCACGUCUGAGCAGGGACAAGUCAAAACACCGAGCUGGGAGGGAACCUGUGAGCACAGGACAAAUUCUAUCCUCUGAGUUCUAGAGAUGGGGAGAGAGAAGCUCCUGUGUGCCAUGCUUUGCUACCUCAAGGAUGAGCAAAACAUAGACCCAAGACCUGAUUUAGCCUAGCUUACUAAUGUCCUAAGAUUUUUAGGAACCCAGAAAAAAAACUAAUCUAAAACACAGAGCCUACGAGGUUGAAUUUUAAUCAUCUCCAUUAGCAUUUAGUAAGGACUCAGGAUUUUAGUAUCCUAGUCCUGUCAAAAUUGAUGUAAAGCAAGUGUACACAAGGACAGAGUCAGGGGGCACCUGGGUGGCUCAGUCGUUAAGUGUCUGCCUUCGGCUCAGGUCAUGAUCCCAAGGUCCUGGGAUGGAGCCCUGCAUUGAGCUCUCUGCUUGGCAGGGAGUCUGCUUCUCCUUCUCCCUCUCUCUCUGUCCCUGCUCUCUAUCUCUCACAUGCACGUACACGCUCUCUCUCUCUCUAAUAAAUAAAAUCUUAAAAAACAAAAAAAGACAGAGUCAGGAGGGCAAAAGUUUAAGCCUUUCAUUAAAAAAAAAAAAAGGCAUUUGAAACAGUGCAAGUCCUCAAUACUGGACAGGGGGCUAGUGUAUGUUGGGAGAGUUUGGACCUUAGAACGAAUUGGAAUACAUACGAAAUAACCAACACAACAUCUGUGUUUUCCUUGGAGGAAUAUAUUCAGUAAUAAACCAGGUAUUUUUAUUCUAUUCUACUCCUAUUCUAUUCUAUUUUAUUCUACUCUGUUCUAUUAAUUUGGUCAAGGUUAACAAAGGCUGAAACUGCAGUUGCAAAUUCACUUUCCCAAGAAGUAAGGAAGUGACCCAUUAAUUUUAACUUUCUAAAUUAUAGUUAAAAAAAAAGAAAGAAAGAAAGAAAAGGAAAAGGUGACUGAAACCUUAAUGCCAUAUGGAAAUGAGAGCAGAGAGAGAGAUUUAUUUCCAGUUUUGAAAGGUAAUAAAAACAAUUGGUGGGAGGGGAAAAUAACAUUAUACUGUGGGUGGCAGAUUAUUUUGAAGUAAUCAUAUACUAAGGGGUAAAAUUGUAUGAGGUUUAGAGAAGUUUACUGAUUUUCAGAUACUCAAUUGGUUAAGGGCCAACAGGUUAGUAUAAACUGAAUAAAAAGAUGUUGUCAUUUUCUCCCAACAAAUUAAAGAGGGCUCUAAAGGUAAACUUGCUUUUUUUUUUUUUUUUUUAAUGUCUGUGACAUAAGUGGUGGUGUAUCUCACCUGCCAUCAAGCUGGAUCACUGUGGAUAGAACUGGUUGGUAAACAUCAUGCUGUAUUAUGUAUUUCCAGAGAUAUUACCUCUUAUUUAUUUGGUCAGAAGAUGGUAAUCAACAGACUAGUGCUCUCCUGAUACAGGAGGGAGCAAAAUGGGAGAUCAAAUGCUUUUUACCCUCUGCAAAUAACUGUCUGCAAAUGCACAGGUCUGUCAGGAUUCCAGAAGAUAGUGAACGCUCCACAGCUGGGGAAGCCCUGCUUCUUCAACUCUGAUGGCUGCAUCUUAUUGUCAGGUGCAAAUUAUUUAGCAACUGCCACAUUAGUUAUAGGAUGUAUCAAAGCUUUUGUCAACGGCUAGCAGCGGUGUAAUUUCUUUCUAAUCCCAUGUCUUGAAUACCGAAAAACAACAAAUCAACAAGUGUUUAGGAUUAUAUUUGGUUCUAAAUGAGAGAAGUUGGAUUCAGAAGCAAACACCCAAAGUGUGAUGAGAGAGAGGAGUUUCAGAGUAAACUAAAUAGGGCAGCUCAAGGAAGCCCAGUGUGAGGAAGGCAGUCAAAGGUGAUGCGUAUGGGGCCAUGAAGACAGAGCUGACUGUCAAGUCUGAAAGGGAAAUGAGAAAAGUCUCAAGACUGGGGGAAAGCCGUGGGAGAAGAGCUUUGGUGAGCAAUUUAGAUCUGAAGAAGCAGUAGUGCACUUGGUGAGGAAUGAAGGCUGGGAAGAAUUCCCGUCCACCCUCCCCUCAGGAAAUCCUCUGAUUUGUAGCUGGAAAGAACUGCUGUCGCGCAGAAUCCCCAGAAAGUCAGGUACCCUCAAGAACCAGCAAUACUCUGACUGCUGGAUACUUCUCAUUCCUUCAUUUUGUAAAGGAUGCUGUCCCUGCCCACAGAGUAAGAGCCUAAGGUACAAUUCAAUAACCUGUGGUCAACAGUGAAACUGAAGCUGAGACGUUACAGAGGAAGGAAGCAAAUUUUGAGAAAUGUUCACAGUUGUUGGUCUGAUUCAGUGACAGUAGGCAGGAUGGAGAAGAUGCAUUCAGACUGACAGCCUCAGAGCAAAGUUGUAAGCUUGUUUCAAGGGUCUCCUAAGCCUGAUGUCCCGAAGAGCUCCGAGUGGCCCCGGGCCAUGGGUUGGUUAUCACUGCGGUGCACGCUCGCGCUCAAACCCUGCGGGUGGUGGAAGAGGUUUCUCGGCUCAUGAGAAGUUUACAGCCUCACCGGGGAGAUAAAGUUCAAAUUAUGAAUAUUCACUACCUUGUGUGCCAUGGAUUUGGUUCCCUCUUGACUUCCAACCUCUCCUCAACAUCUUUUAGGUCUCUUAAAUUUAUAAUAAAGGUAUCUUUCAUUGGUAUUGUACUUUUCUACUCAUAAAGCUCUGUCAUGUUCACAAUCCCAUGAUCCUUGCAGCGCCGCUAGCUCACUGCCUACUUACUCGUUUCUAAACCCAUUAAACACAUCUAGAAUUCAGAUGAACCACGUCAUCCUAAAAACAACAACACAAACACAAUGCAUCUGUAGAAAAGAGAGGACUGGCUCUGUUGUAGGACAGCAGUUGUUUGAGAAUUGUAUUUGGACUACAGAAGCUAAUCUAAAAAAUCUUUGAUCAUCCACUCAUAAGUUCAUUUGUAGAUAUCUGGGCCAGUUAUCCUUUAAUUCUUACUUUUUUGGCUUGCCCUCUUCAGAGCCAUCCUAGAAAAUGCAUGAUAGGGUGGCUCGCUCCAUGGGAGGGGAAAAAUCAAAUAACGACUUGCCUGGCUUCCUGUUUAAUUCACUACCUAAAAUGUUCCUUUUAAUCGUAUUAAUGAUUUUAAAUUUUGUUACAAAUAAUUCCAAUUAAAACUAAACAAGGGAUCCUUUUCGGGAUAGAAAAAGGGAGUUUAUGGCUCAACAUACGGCCUUUUAAAAAGGUAAUUUAAUUUUGUUUCCCUUCAAAGUGAAGGGAAGAUUUCAAAGCUUUAAAUUAUUAGAAUACUUGGCUUUUGGGAAUAUAGUAAGAGGAUUAUUUUUGGUUAAAUUACUGGGACCACCCUUAAUAAUUCAUAAGAGCUACAUCAUUCAUGACUUAAGAUUGCCUUAAUUAGAGAGGAUUUUUAUCUCAUCUUCCUUUUUACUAUUAGCACUUAACUACCGUUUCAGUUUUCUCUUUGACACUCUUGGCAUCUAGAGCCAUCUUUUCAUGGGCCAGAUACAUAAUUAUUAUUUAUAUUUGGAUUUAUGAUGUUUAGAAAAUAUAUAAAACCUAAAGGAAGAAGGUAACUUUCCUUGAAAUUCAUAGAAAUGCAUCAAUUCUAAUAUUUUUGGGGUUUCGGCGAUUUUAGUGUUACUUGUCUAUCUAAAGAACAAUGUGCUUUCUGACUAUUUGGUUAAAGAAGCACAUUAGAGAGAAACGUGGAUUUGGGAAGAAAUAAAAUUUAGAAUAUUUCCAGGGAUGUUUUAAUUUGUUGACUCUCUACUGGAUUGUUUAUAAUUGUCAGACAUAAGAAUAAUUACGGAAUAAGUACUGACUCCAUCCAUAAGAAAAUUUACAGCUGUCAUUGGCUAUGCUCAGUCUCUUUCCAUGUAUUUCUUGUUUUCUUUUUUAUUUUUUUUAAGAUUUUAUUUUUAAGUAAUCUGUAUACCAACGUAGAACUCAAACUCACAACCCUGAGAUCAAGAGUCAUCUGCUCUACAGGCUGAGCCCUCCAAGUGCCCCAUCUUUCCUGGUAUUUCUUGCUGAGGGUAAUCAUUUGCAAAGGUAUCUGUAUUUUGAUAAAUGGACAAAUGAAAUAUAUUUUCGAAUUACUUUCAGUAUGAUCAAGUCCGAUUGCAAAAAAGGUGAAUGCAACCAUUCAUGGGGUUGUAAAUUAUUUUAAGACUGAGAAAAGCAAAGUGCUACAGAUUUCAAAUUUGAAAUCAAUUACAGAACAUUUAAAAUGCAACCAAACUUAUUUUGGCAAAUGUUAUUCACUGAUAUAGUAACCAAAUUAACACCUUUGUUAGCAGAGAACACCUUUGUUUCAGUAUUCUAAAAAUGGAAUAAGGCAAACUGGAACUUAGUAAGAAAGUAACCCAUAGUUUUUAUGCUAUGAACUCAUGGUUUUUAUGCUAUAAAAGCCAAGAUAACACCAUGCAAUAGAUGCAAUCCUGUUUCUUCAGGUUGGGUUCUCAUGGAUGUUUUCUAUAUACACUCAACAUUGUGCAUUAGUCCAGUAGUAUUUUUUUAAUGCACUAUGAUCGUAACCGGAGGUUUGUUCAAUAAGUUUGGGUUUUAGAGCUUGUUUUGUGUGCAAACAUACUAUCUUUGAUUUAAUUUUUUCUGACACCAUGCCCACUGCACAGUAGAGAAAAAAAGUGUAAUUGUAGUUUUGUCCUUUAUAGUACAGGACAAAUAAAUGUCAAAAUCAAAUGGUGGUAUCCCCCAAGGGAAAACACACUUCGGUGAUGAAAUAUUCUUCCUCACUUCCCAUUGCUAUUCCUCUGAACACCCAGGUGAAGCUGCCUCAGGACCUAAUCAAAUGCUACUAAUUUGCAUAUAAUAAAAACCUUGUCAUGAGAUUUUAGACUGUUACAAGGGAAAGUGCAUCACAUCUCUAAAAUGGUAAAUUAUGAAGAUAUGCAUACAUCUGUUCUGAACCUACAGUUUAUAAACACUCAGAAUAGUUUGACCAGACCAAAUCAGAUAGGAGCCCCUGCUUAUGUUGAUGUAACUGUCAGUUAAAUUCUGUGCCUAAUAAAGAUCCUUGGAAGUGGCAUACUGCUAUUUCCUAUGUUCCUUGAAAAUGCUGAGAUAUUGAU
Mirounga angustirostris (Northern elephant seal) is the source of this 8899-nucleotide long non-coding RNA. RefSeq lists it as uncharacterized. Lineage: Eukaryota; Metazoa; Chordata; Mammalia; Carnivora; Phocidae. The record is from RefSeq and is a predicted model, not a curated record. The transcript has 9 exons.